GUCAAAAGGACUCUCCAGACUUCCUCUAGGAGAAGUAUUCUGCUAACUUUAUCUUCAACAUUUGAAAGCCACUGACAAGUCCAUUCUUUCUCAAUUCUGGGAUCUGCCAACAAAUGAAGUGUCUAGGAUCUGCACACACAGUGUUGAGGUGGAGAGCCUUGGGAGGUCAGACCCCUCAGCUUGUGUCUGUGGGAGUGAGAAGAAAUGGCAUCCAGGCCACACAGGGAGGCGUGAGGUUGGAAAAGGCCUGCAGCUCAGCAACUUCCAGCUUCCAGGAACAGGAGACUCGUGAGCCUGAGCGGAUGACCUCUCCUGCUGCCACCUGGAGGGGUUUCUCAUGUUCCGGGGACAUGGUGACGUCAACCUUCACUUUUCUGAACAUCUCUGCCUGCCCCUCUGCAUUCAUCCUUCACCGUCACUUGCUUGCUGACUCUUCAUUGACGACCCCCCCCCACACUCUAGACAGAAGUAGCUAUCCUUUCCUUGUAUCCUCAGAUUACUUGCCACAUACACCCUCUGUUGUAGCAAAUAUCAAAUUACAUUUUAGUUGUCUAGGUACAGGUCAUACUUUCAGGCUGAGCUACUACUCAAAGGCAGAGGCUGCCUUUUUAAAAUUACUGUUUAUUGAGUAUUUUACAUAUGUUAUCUCAUUCAGUUCUUACAAUAAGCCUAAGAGGAAACAGAGGCUCAGAGGGGUUAAAUAUCAUGCCCCACCGUAA
RNAcentral lists this long non-coding RNA (719 nucleotides) under Sus scrofa (pig). Its description in RNAcentral is "lncRNA (ENSSSCG00045019711.1)". The record is from RNAcentral. Lineage: Eukaryota; Metazoa; Chordata; Mammalia; Artiodactyla; Suidae.